AUUGAACGCUGGCGGCAGGCCUAACACAUGCAAGUCGAGCGGAGGAAGGGAGCUUGCUCCUGGAUUCAGCGGCGGACGGGGGAGUAAGGCCUAGGAAUCUGCCUGGUAGUGGGGGAUAACGUCCGGAAACGGGCGCUAAUACCGCAUACGUCCUGAGGGAGAAAGUGGGGGAUCUUCGGACCUCACGCUAUCAGAUGAGCCUAGGUCGGAUUAGCUAGUUGGUGGGGUAAAGGCCUACCAAGGCGACGAUCCGUAACUGGUCUGAGAGGAUGAUCAGUCACACUGGAACUGGGACACGGUCAGACUCCUACGGGAGGCAGCAGUGGGGAAUAUUGGACAAUGGGCGAAAGCCUGAUCCAGCCAUGCCGCGUGUGUGAAGAAGGUCUUCGGAUUGUAAAGCACUUUAAGUUGGGAGGAAGGGCAGUAAGUUAAUACCUUGCUGUUUUGACGUUACCAACAGAAUAAGCACCGGCUAACUUCGUG
RNAcentral lists this ribosomal RNA (483 nucleotides) under uncultured bacterium. RNAcentral's name for it is "partial 16S ribosomal RNA". It matches the Rfam family "Bacterial small subunit ribosomal RNA", at positions 30 to 507 of the family's 1533-position model. The record is from RNAcentral.